This 742-nucleotide ribosomal RNA is filed under the name Rothia mucilaginosa. RNAcentral describes it as "bacterial SSU rRNA". It matches the Rfam family "Bacterial small subunit ribosomal RNA", at positions 28 to 776 of the family's 1533-position model. The record is from RNAcentral. Lineage: Bacteria; Bacillati; Actinomycetota; Actinomycetes; Micrococcales; Micrococcaceae.
GACGAACGCUGGCGGCGUGCUUAACACAUGCAAGUCGAACGAUGAAGCCUAGCUUGCUAGGUGGAUUAGUGGCGAACGGGUGAGUAAUACGUGAGUAACCUACCUUUAACUCUGGGAUAAGCCUGGGAAACUGGGUCUAAUACCGGAUACGACCGAUCUCCGCAUGGGGUGUUGGUGGAAAGCGUUAUGUAGUGGUUAUAGAUGGGCUCACGGCCUAUCAGCUUGUUGGUGAGGUAACGGCUCACCAAGGCGACGACGGGUAGCCGGCCUGAGAGGGUGACCGGCCACACUGGGACUGAGACGCGGCCCAGACUCCUACGGGAGGCAGCAGUGGGGAAUAUUGCACAAUGGGCGCAAGCCUGAUGCAGCGACGCCGCGUGAGGGAUGACGGCCUUCGGGUUGUAAACCUCUGUUAGCAGGGAAGAAGAGAAAUUGACGGUACCUGCAGAGAAAGCGCCGGCUAACUACGUGCCAGCAGCCGCGGUAAUACGUAGGGCGCGAGCGUUGUCCGGAAUUAUUGGGCGUAAAGAGCUUGUAGGCGGUUUGUCGCGUCUGCUGUGAAAGGCCGGGGCUUAACCCCGUGUAUUGCAGUGGGUACGGGCAGACUAGAGUGCAGUAGGGGAGACUGGAAUUCCUGGUGUAGCGGUGGAAUGCGCAGAUAUCAGGAGGAACACCGAUGGCGAAGGCAGGUCUCUGGGCUGUAACUGACGCUGAGAAAGCGAAAGCAUGGGGAGCGAACAGG